RNAcentral lists this ribosomal RNA (199 nucleotides) under uncultured bacterium. Its description in RNAcentral is "partial 16S ribosomal RNA". It matches the Rfam family "Bacterial small subunit ribosomal RNA", at positions 328 to 539 of the family's 1533-position model. The record is from RNAcentral.
ACGCUCGACACCUACAGGAGGCAGCAGUGGGGGAAUAUUGCACAAUGGGGGAAACCCUGAUGCAGCGACGCCGCGUGGAGGAAGAAGGUCUUCGGAUUGUAAACUCCUGUUGUUGGGGAAAAAGAGGAUGGUACCCAACAAGGAAGUGACGGCUAACUACGUGCCAGCAGCCGCGGUAAUCUGAGCGGGCUGGCAAGGC